Molecule: ribosomal RNA, 484 nt
Filed under: uncultured bacterium
Lineage: Bacteria
Description: partial 16S ribosomal RNA
Rfam family: Bacterial small subunit ribosomal RNA
Source: RNAcentral
AUUGAACGCUGGCGGCAGGCCUAACACAUGCAAGUCGAGCGGAUGAAGGGAGCUUGCUCCUGGAUUCAGCGGCGGACGGGUGAGUAAUGCCUAGGAAUCUGCCUGGUAGUGGGGGAUAACGUCCGGAAACGGGCGCUAAUACCGCAUACGUCCUGAGGGAGAAAGUGGGGGAUCUUCGGACCUCACGCUAUCAGAUGAGCCUAGGUCGGAUUAGCUAGUUGGUGGGGUAAAGGCCUACCAAGGCGACGAUCCGUAACUGGUCUGAGAGGAUGAUCAGUCACACUGGAACUGAGACACGGUCCGGACUCCUACGGGAGGCAGCAGUGGGGAAUAUUGGACAAUGGGCGAAAGUCUGAUCCAGCCAUGCCGCGUGUGUGAAGAAGGUCUUCGGAUUGUAAAGCACUUUAAGUUGGGAGGAAGGGCAGUAAGUUAAUACCUUGCUGUUUUGACGUUACCAACAGAAUAAGCACCGGCUAACUUCGUG